CAACCUGGUUGAUCCUGCCAGUGGUAUAUGCUUGUCUCAAGGACUAAGCCAUGCAAGUGCCAGUAUGAGUGACUUAUACAACGAAACUGCGAAUGGCUCGGUAAAACAGCUAUAGUUUCUUCGGGGGUACAUUACUACUCGGCUAUCCGUAGUAAUUCUAGAGCUAAUACGUGCCAUAAAGCGAGCUGCUUGCGGCUUGCGGUACUUAUUGGAGGUACAAGCCAGUUUUUCUGGUGAUUCACAAUAAUUUUUCUGAUCGCUGCUCUUUUGCAGCGACGCCCCGUUCAAAUUUCUGACCUAUCAACUUCGGAUGGUAAGGUAUUGUCUUACCAUGGUUUUGACGGGUAACGGACCGUGGGUGCGGGACUCCGGAGAGGGAGCCUGAGAAACGGCUACCACAUCCAAGGAAGGCAGCAGGCGCGCAAAUUACCCAAUCUGAACUUCAGGAGGUAGUGACAAGAAAUAGCAAUAGGGGGCCCGAUGGGCUUCCUAAUUGGAAUGAGAACAAGAUAAACGGCUUAUCGAGGAGCCAGCAGAGGGCAAGUCUGGUGCCAGCAGCCGCGGUAAUUCCAGCUCUGUAAGCGUAUACCAAAGUUGUUGCAGUUAAAACGCUCGUAGUCGGAUUUUGGCGGGUGGCGUGGGGCGUCCGCGAGGACGUUUCUGCGGCGGCCGCCUUUGUGGAGGGGGGCGCGGUGGUGCUUUGUUGCAUUGCCGUGUCGCCGCCACCGUUUACUGUGAAAAAAUUAGAGUGUUCAAAGCGGGCGUUUGCCAUGAAUACAUUAGCAUGGAAUAAUAGAAUAGGACCUGUUCUUAUUUUAUUGGUUUGUUUAGUUCAGGUAAUGAUUAAGAGGGACGGUUGGGGGCAUUUGUAUUCUGACGUCAGAGGUGAAAUUCUUAGAUCGUCAGAAGACAAACAGCUGCGAAAGCGUCUGCCAAGGACGUUUUCAUUGAUCAAGAACGAAAGUAAGGGGAUCGAAGACGAUCAGAUACCGUCGUAGUCUUUACUAUAAACGAUGAGGACUAGGGAUCGGGCGUGGCCAAAAUUUUGUACGCUCGGCACCUUCCGGGAAACCAAAGUAUUUGCUUUCUGGGGGGAGUAUGGUCGCAAGGCUGAAACUUAAAGGAAUUGACGGAAGGGCAUCACUGGGUGUGGAGCCUGCGGCUUAAUUUGACUCAACACGGGAAAACUUACCAGGUCAGGACAUCAGUAGGAUUAACAGAUUGAGAGCUCUUUUUUGAUUUGAUGGUUGGUGGUGCAUGGCCGUUCUUAGUUGGUGGAGUGAUCUGUCUGGUUAAUUCCGUUAACGAGCGAGACCUGGGCGUGCUAGCUAGGCGCUGUUAUCUUUUUUGGAUAGCAAGGUAGCCUUCCUAGACGGACUGUGGGCGUCUAGUCCACGGAAGCUCCAGGCAAUAACAGGUCUGAGAUGCCCUUAGAUGUUCUGGGCCGCACGCGUGCUACACUGAGCGGAUCAACGGGUGAGGUAAUGCGAAAGCACUACCCAAUCUCUAAAUCCGCUCGUGCUGGGGAUAGAGGCUUGCAAUUUUCCCUCUUGAACGAGGAAUACCUUGUAAGCACGGGUCAUCAUCCCGUGCUGAAUACGUCCCUGCCCUUUGUACACACCGCCCGUCGCUCCUACCGAUUGAGUGGUCCGGUGAGGCCUUGGGAGGGCUGAAUAGACUGUUCUUGAACAGACUUUUUGGCUUCAACUUGGUCAAACCUUAUCACUUAGAGGAAGGAGAAGUCGUAACAAGGUUUCCGUAGGUGAACCUGCAGAAGGAUCAAGCUA
Molecule: ribosomal RNA, 1787 nt
Filed under: Spongoclonium caribaeum
Lineage: Eukaryota; Rhodophyta; Florideophyceae; Ceramiales; Ceramiaceae
Description: SSU rRNA
Rfam family: Eukaryotic small subunit ribosomal RNA
Source: RNAcentral